GACGAACGCUGGCGGCGCGCUUAACACAUGCAAGUCGAACGGAAAGGCCUGCUUUCCCUUGUGGAUUGCGGGUACUCGAGUGGCGAACGGGUGAGUACACGUGAGUGAUCUGCCCCCAACUUGGGUAUAAGCCUGGGAAACUGGGUCUAAUUCCCGAUAGGACUGCAGGGUGGUGCCUGUGGUGGAAAACGAUUUUCUAGUGGUUGGGGAUGAGCUCGCGGCCUAUCAGCUUGUUGGUGGGGUAAUGGCCUACCAAGGCGGCGACGGGUAGCCGGCCUGAGAGGGUGGACGGCCACAUUGGGACUGAGAUACGGCCCAGACUCCUACGGGAGGCAGCAGUGGGGAAUAUUGCACAAUGGGCGGAAGCCUGAUGCAGCGACGCCGCGUGGGGGAUGACGGCCUUCGGGUUGUAAACUCCUUUCGACCGCGAGGAAGCCACCUGGUUGGAAGGGUGGUGACGGUAGUGGUAGAAGAAGCACCGGCUAACUACGUG
Molecule: ribosomal RNA, 493 nt
Filed under: uncultured bacterium
Lineage: Bacteria
Description: partial 16S ribosomal RNA
Rfam family: Bacterial small subunit ribosomal RNA
Source: RNAcentral